Molecule: ribosomal RNA, 237 nt
Filed under: uncultured bacterium
Lineage: Bacteria
Description: partial 16S ribosomal RNA
Rfam family: Bacterial small subunit ribosomal RNA
Source: RNAcentral
GAUCCUGGCUCAGGAUGAACGCUAGCGGCAGGCUUAACACAUGCAAGUCAAGGGGCAGCAUAAUGGAUAGCAAUAUCUAUGGUGGCGACCGGCGCACGGGUGCGUAACGCGUAUGCAACCUACCUUUAACAGGGGGAUAACACUGAGAAAUUGGUACUAAUACCCCAUAAUAUCAUAGAAGGCAUCUUUUAUGGUUGAAAAUUCCGAUGGUUAGAGAUGGGCAUGGCGUUGUAUUAG